Molecule: ribosomal RNA, 216 nt
Filed under: Clostridioides difficile
Lineage: Bacteria; Bacillati; Bacillota; Clostridia; Peptostreptococcales; Peptostreptococcaceae
Description: partial 16S ribosomal RNA
Rfam family: Bacterial small subunit ribosomal RNA
Source: RNAcentral
CGUAGGGGGCUAGCGUUAUCCGGAUUUACUGGGCGUAAAGGGUGCGUAGGCGGUCUUUCAAGUCAGGAGUGAAAGGCUACGGCUCAACCGUAGUAAGCUCUUGAAACUGGGAGGCUUGAGUGCAGGAGAGGAGAGUGGAAUUCCUAGUGUAGCGGUGAAAUGCGUAGAUAUUAGGAGGAACACCAGUUGCGAAGGCGGCUCUCUGGACUGUAACUG